CCCCUUAGAUGUUCUGGGCUGCACACGUGCUACACUGGCAGGUUCAGCGAGCUUCAUGCCCUGAUCUGAAAGGAAUGGGAAAUCUUUUCAAAACCUGCCGUGCUUGGGAUAGAUGUUUGCAAUUAUUCAUCUGCAACGAGGAUUGCCUUGUAAGCGCACGUCAUCAGCGUGCAUUGAAUACGACCCUGUAUUCUGUACACACCGCCCGUCGCUCCUACCGAUUGAAGUUUUCGGUGAGUUGACAGGAGGAUUUUUUUGAAACUGGUUCGCCAGUGGAUUUUAGAUCCAAAUGCCAACGAAUCGAUGGCUUUAGAGGAAGGAGAAGUCGUAACA
This 333-nucleotide ribosomal RNA is filed under the name uncultured eukaryote. RNAcentral's name for it is "partial 18S ribosomal RNA". It matches the Rfam family "Eukaryotic small subunit ribosomal RNA", at positions 1469 to 1796 of the family's 1831-position model. The record is from RNAcentral.